AUUGAACGCUGGCGGCAGGCCUAACACAUGCAAGUCGAGCGGAAACGAAGGGAGCUUGCUCCCAGGCGUCGAGCGGCGGACGGGUGAGUAACACGUGAGAAUCUGCCCAUUAGUGGGGGACAACUCGGGGAAACUCGAGCUAAUACCGCAUAAUCCCUACGGGGGAAAGCAGGGGACCUUUUGGCCUUGCGCUGAUGGAUGAGCCCACGUCGGAUUAGCUUGUUGGUGAGGUAAAGGCUCACCAAGGCGACGAUCCGUAGCUGGUCUGAGAGGAUGAUCAGCCACACUGGGACUGAGACACGGCCCAGACUCCUACGGGAGGCAGCAGUGGGGAAUCUUGGACAAUGGGGGCAACCCUGAUCCAGCCAUGCCGCGUGUGUGAAGAAGGCCUUCGGGUUGUAAAGCACUUUCAGCAGGGAGGAAGGCUUUGGCCGAAUAGGUUGAAGUACUUGACGUUACCUGCAGAAGAAGCACCGGCUAAUUUCGUGCCAGCAGCCGCGGUAA
RNAcentral lists this ribosomal RNA (504 nucleotides) under uncultured bacterium. Its description in RNAcentral is "partial 16S ribosomal RNA". It matches the Rfam family "Bacterial small subunit ribosomal RNA", at positions 30 to 523 of the family's 1533-position model. The record is from RNAcentral.